CAUAUAAAACCCCCAGAGCACAAGCCAUGCUUUCAUCCUGUGACCCGCUCAUUUCUGUCUCAGGCACAGGAAACCCCUAAACUCUCUCAGCCUUGCCCCAGCGUCUGCACACACUCUCUCACACACCUCAGCGUGCUCAGAGAUGAGAAUGGCUGUACGAAGAAUGAAUGAGCUCUGGAAAACGAUGGGUCUGGCUUUAAUGUUCGGCUUUCUUUUGCUUCACAGUUGUCAGGGACAGAGCCCAACAGUUAAGUCACCAGAUUCGUCUACAAACAUGGCAGCAUCCCCGGCAGCAACCUCGAUAGCAUCCCCGGCAGCAACCUCGAUAGCAUCCCCGAAAGCAACCACGAAAGAAACCCCAACAGAAACCCAGACGGCAUCCUCUACAGUAACCCGGACAGCAACCCCGACAACACCCCCGACAGCUGAAGAUACAACAGUUUCAGCAGCAAACUCAAAUUCUGGGCCUUAUGAUCAAAAAACAACCAUCCCCAGCCAAACAGGUUCUGUUAACCAAACACCUCAAUUAAAUACCACUGCCAGCCAGUCUACACCUGUAACAAACCAAUCAGAAAACCCAAAUCAAUUAACCCCUGCUGUAAAGGAGACAGAAAUAAAGG
This is a long non-coding RNA of Carassius carassius (crucian carp), 620 nucleotides long. RefSeq lists it as uncharacterized. The transcript has 3 exons. The record is from RefSeq and is a predicted model, not a curated record. NCBI's taxonomy places the organism in Eukaryota, Metazoa, Chordata, Actinopteri, Cypriniformes, Cyprinidae.